CAAACUCCUACGGGAGGCAGCAGUAGGGAAUCUUCCACAAUGGACGCAAGUCUGAUGGAGCAACGCCGCGUGAGUGAAGAAGGCUUUCGGGUCGUAAAACUCUGUUGUUGGAGAAGAAUGGUCGGCAGAGUAACUGUUGUCGGCGUGACGGUAUCCAACCAGAAAGCCACGGCUAACUACGUGCCAGCAGCCGCGGUAAUACGUAGGUGGCAAGCGUUAUCCGGAUUUAUUGGGCGUAAAGCGAGCGCAGGCGGUUUUUUAAGUCUGAUGUGAAAGCCCUCGGCUUAACCGAGGAAGCGCAUCGGAAACUGGGAAACUUGAGUGCAGAAGAGGACAGUGGAACUCCAUGUGUAGCGGUGAAAUGCGUAGAUAUAUGGAAGAACACCAGUGGCGAAGGCGGCUGUCUGGUCUGUAACUGACGCUGAGGCUCGAAAGCAUGGGUAGCGAACAGGAUUAGAUACCCUGGUAGUCCAUGCCGUAAACGAUGAAUGCUAGGUGUUGGAGGGUCUCCGCCCUUCAGUGCCGCAGCUAACGCAUUAAGCAUUCCGCCUGGGGAGUACGACCGCAAGGUUGAAACUCAAAGGAAUUGACGGGGGCCCGCACAAGCGGUGGAGCAUGUGGUUUAAUUCGAAGCAACGCGAAGAACCUUACCAGGUCUUGACAUCUUUUGAUCACCUGAGAGAUCAGGUUUCCCCUUCGGGGGCAAAAUGACAGGUGGUGCAUGGUUGUCGUCAGCUCGUGUCGUGAGAUGUUGGGUUAAGUCCCGCAACGAGCGCAACCCUUAUGACUAGUUGCCAGCAUUUAGUUGGGCACUCUAGUAAGACUGCCGGUGACAAACCGGAGGAAGGUGGGGAUGACGUCAAAUCAUCAUGCCCCUUAUGACCUGGGCUACACACGUGCUACAAUGGAUGGUACAACGAGUUGCGAGACCGCGAGGUCAAGCUAAUCUCUUAAAGCCAUUCUCAGUUCGGACUGUAGGCUGCAACUCGCCUACACGAAGUCGGAAUCGCUAGUAAUCGCGGAUCAGCACGCCGCGGUGAAUACGUUCCCGGGCCUUGUACACACCGCCCGUCACACCA
This 1079-nucleotide ribosomal RNA is filed under the name Lacticaseibacillus paracasei subsp. tolerans. RNAcentral's name for it is "bacterial SSU rRNA". It matches the Rfam family "Bacterial small subunit ribosomal RNA", at positions 332 to 1404 of the family's 1533-position model. Lineage: Bacteria; Bacillati; Bacillota; Bacilli; Lactobacillales; Lactobacillaceae. The record is from RNAcentral.